AGAGCUUGCUCUCUUGGCGGCGAGUGGCGGACGGGUGAGUAAUAUAUCGGAACGUGCCCAGUAGCGGGGGAUAACUACUCGAAAGAGUGGCUAAUACCGCAUACGCCCUACGGGGGAAAGGGGGGGAUCGCAAGACCUCUCACUAUUGGAGCGGCCGAUAUCGGAUUAGCUAGUUGGUGGGGUAAAGGCUCACCAAGGCAACGAUCCGUAGCUGGUUUGAGAGGACGACCAGCCACACUGGGACUGAGACACGGCCCAGACUCCUACGGGAGGCAGCAGUGGGGAAUUUUGGACAAUGGGGGAAACCCUGAUCCAGCCAUCCCGCGUGUAUGAUGAAGGCCUUCGGGUUGUAAAGUACUUUUGGCAGAGAAGAAAAGGUAUCCCCUAAUACGGGAUACUGCUGACGGUAUCUGCAGAAUAAGCACCGGCUAACUACGUGCCAGCAGCCGCGGUAAUACGUAGGGUGCAAGCGUUAAUCGGAAUUACUGGGCGUAAAGCGUGUGUAGGCGGUUCGGAAAGAAAGAUGUGAAAUCCCAGGGCUCAACCUUGGAACUGCAUUUUUAACUGCCGAGCUAGAGUAUGUCAGAGGGGGGUAGAAUUCCCGGUGUAGCAGUGAAAUG
Molecule: ribosomal RNA, 620 nt
Filed under: Alcaligenes phenolicus
Lineage: Bacteria; Pseudomonadati; Pseudomonadota; Betaproteobacteria; Burkholderiales; Alcaligenaceae
Description: bacterial SSU rRNA
Rfam family: Bacterial small subunit ribosomal RNA
Source: RNAcentral